RNAcentral lists this ribosomal RNA (445 nucleotides) under uncultured bacterium. RNAcentral's name for it is "partial 16S ribosomal RNA". It matches the Rfam family "Bacterial small subunit ribosomal RNA", at positions 354 to 796 of the family's 1533-position model. The record is from RNAcentral.
GUGAGGAAUAUUGGUCAAUGGGCGAGAGCCUGAACCAGCCAAGUCGCGUGAAGGAAGAAGGAUCUAUGGUUCGUAAACUUCUUUUGCAGGGGAAUAAAGUACGGUACGUGUACCGUUUUGUAUGUACUCUGCGAAUAAGGAUCGGCUAACUCCGUGCCAGCAGCCGCGGUAAUACGGAGGAUCCAAGCGUUAUCCGGAUUUAUUGGGUUUAAAGGGUGCGCAGGCGGGUUGAUAAGUCAGCGGUGAAAGUUUGCAGCUUAACUGUAAAAUUGCCGUUGAAACUGUCGAUCUUGAGUGCAAAUGAGGUAAGCGGAAUGUGUUGUGUAGCGGUGAAAUGCUUAGAUAUAACACAGAACACCGAUUGCGAAGGCAGCUUACUGGGAUGCAACUGACGCUCAUGCACGAAAGCGUGGGGAUCAAACAGGAUUAGAUACCCUGGUAGUCC